RNAcentral lists this non-coding RNA (45 nucleotides) under Trichobilharzia regenti. Lineage: Eukaryota; Metazoa; Platyhelminthes; Trematoda; Strigeidida; Schistosomatidae. The record is from RNAcentral.
AUCCAGAUGACGAGUCUGAAAUAGGACGAAGUGCGUAUCCUGGAU